Molecule: RNA transcript, 5261 nt
Organism: Oncorhynchus kisutch (coho salmon)
Lineage: Eukaryota; Metazoa; Chordata; Actinopteri; Salmoniformes; Salmonidae
Gene name: thymosin beta 4 X-linked
Exons: 4
Source: RefSeq, a predicted model, not a curated record
AGCUGCUCUUCACUUGUGAUUGAGUAGAGAAGAGUUGAGUCAUUACAUACGGAAACAAAGCGAUGCAUAAACACAUCCUAAUAAUAGACAGGCAUUUGCCGUUUCAUUAAACUUCCUUUUUUUUGCUUGCUGGAAGCUAAAAUACAGACAACGACCAGGCACUACUUAUUUGAUAAGGUUUUCAAAGCUCACAAGGGAUCAACAGUAAAUAAUAUGGAUGCUACCACCUGCUGGUUACAGUUGGCUCCAUUGUUCCUAUACCACUUCCUGGUACCUACCUCAUGUCAUUGGAUGCCACGGCAGUUUCCAUGUGACGUUACGGUCAAUACUACCAAUACCACGGAUGACAUCAUCUUUAAUUGUGAGGAGCGUCGACUGAAAAAUGUACCUGUUGGCAUCACCAGGAAUGUGACCGUGCUGGACCUAUCAGAAAACAACAUCAGAAAUGUAUCUCUUGAUGCAUUUUCUAAUCUGGAGAACCUGACCCUUCUCAAUCUCAACUGUGUCAACAAAAAUGGUGACACACACAUCGCUGAAGGUGCCUUCAAGAAUCUGACAAACCUGCAGGACCUAAGGCUUAAUGGCAAUGGCCUCAUCAACAUUCCUCAAAUUCUCCCACUCAUUCUGGACAAACUCAUGCUGGACAAUAACAAGAUCAAUUUCUCGAAUAUGAUCAACCUUGUCGGUAUACAACAUGUGAAGGAGCUGUACUUAUCCAAAAAUUGCUAUUACUGGAAUCCCUGUGAGACUGACUUUACUAUUGGAUAUGGCACCUUCUCAGUAUUGACUAAGUUGAAGGUUUUGAUGUUGGCCUAUAAUAAUUUAACUCGUGUUCCAAAAGGACUGCCAAGCUCUAUACAAGAAUUACACCUCGAUUCGAACAAGAUACAGCAAAUUGCUGAGGAUGAUUUCCUUGGACUAACCCAUCUAACAAUCCUGGAAUUACAGGGAAACUGUCCACGAUGCUCCAAUGCUCCAUAUCCUUGUGUUCCCUGUCCUAAUGAUUCUCUGGAUAUUCAUCCUCAUGCAUUUCAUGGUCUUACACAGUUACAGACACUGCACCUAGCAGGCAACUCACUUCGUUUCAUCAAUAACUCCUGGUUUGAGAGCUUGAACAAUCUCACACAUCUGUUCCUGUCUUAUAAUUACUUAACAAAUACUAUCACCAGUGGAACCUUUUUUAGCUAUCUACCAAAGCUAGAAAAGAUUGAUUUGUCAUUUAAUUAUGAUUUGCUUGCCUACCCUGAAACCCUUGAGCUUUCAAAAAACUUUUCACAAUUGGUGUCUCUUACAACCUUACAUAUAAUGGGUUUUGUUUUCAGGGAAAUUCAUUUAGAAACACUCAGACCGCUUUAUGAACUCAAGCGUCUUUCAGUGUUGAACAUCGGAACUAACUUUAUUGUUCGAUCUGAUUCCCACAUAUUCAACAAAUUCUCAAACUCAAGUCUCAAAGUCAUAUAUCUUGCGGAGAACAGGCUUUAUCCAAUUUCAGUGAAUGAGUCCCCAGGUUGUGGCACAGGCGGCAACUUAAAGUCGGUGUUGUACACGUCGCCACUGACUGGAUAUUAUUCCAAUUCAAGGGACUUUUCUUACGGAAUAAAUCACAACCUUGUGAAGCCAGAAUGCUUUAUCUCUGGUCGAGUGCUGGUCCUUAGUUCAAAUAAUCUCUUUUUCAUUUCUCCAAAGCAAUUUGAGGGCUAUGGUGACAUUGCAUGUCUAAACUUAUCAAGAAAUGGAUUUUCAGCAGCAUUGAACGGGACAGAGUUCACCUCAUUACCAAACCUAAAAUAUCUCGACCUGUCCUUUAACAAGAUUGACCUGGCCUAUGACAACGCCUUCAAGGAAUUAAAGAAACUCAAAAUACUAGACCUAAGUUACAACAGCCACUAUUUUGAAGUGUCUGGUGUGACACAUAAUUUAAAUUUUUUGAAAAAUCUACCGACUUUGAAAGUAUUGAAUAUGUCACACAAUAACAUUUUUACAUUAACCACUAAGCAGAUGACAAGCACAUCUAUAAAAGAGCUUCAAUUUCAACACAAUUUGUUGGCUACAUUAUGGAAAGAGGGGGAUGACUCAUACAACAGCCUUUUUAAAAAGCUGACGAAUUUGACCUAUCUGGAUAUUUCAUUUAACAGCAUUGAGAAGAUCCCAUCAAAAGUCUAUGAAAACAUACCAUAUACCCUUCAAAAACUAUGUAUUAGUCAUAAUUCACUCUGCCAUUUUGAUUGGGAUAAACUGGCAGGUUUUCAACAACUGAAUUUCCUGGAUCUAAGCUACAAUUCUUUAUUUCAUGUGUCAGCAAAUCUCUCAAACUUCACAGACACACUUCAGAUUCUUGACUUAAGCCACAAUCAGAUUUUUCAACUCUCUCGUGGAUUUCUUAGGGGUGCUCAAAGCCUUCAGAUACUUGACCUCAGCUACAACCAACUUACUAUCAUCAACAAGACCACCUUCCUAUCGGGCCCUGAAAACUACAUGAAAACCUUGUCCUUGCAAGGUAAUCCAUUCCAGUGUACCUGUGAUUUACUAGAGUUCAUCCUGUGGAUAAAAGAUAACAAAAACGUGGAGAUCCCCAGACUGGCCAGUGAGGUGACCUGCAACAUGCCAGCCAAAAUGAGAGGCCAACCAAUGAUACUGUUUAACAUUAAAGAAUGCAACGAGGACAACAUAGCCUUCCUGAUUUACUCCCUCUCCACUUCCUUGAUCAUGUUCACUGUGGUCAUCACUAUGGCAGGGCAUGUGUUUUAUUGGGAUGCCUCCUAUAUUCUAUACUAUCUGAGGGCAAAGCUGAAGGGCUACCAUUCGUUGAAGUCAACAACAACAGACAAUCUCUAUGAUGCCUUUGUUACCUACGACACCAGAGACCCGUUGGUGUCAGACUGGGUACUGAACCAACUGCGGGUGCAGCUGGAAGAGAGGGGGGAGAGACACCUGCCUCUCUGUCUGGAGGAACGAGACUGGGCCCCCGGGGUCCCCCUAAUAGACAACCUCUUCCAGAGCAUUCGACAGAGCCGCAAGACUGUCUUUGUGCUGACCGAGGCUUACAUCAGGACUGGGAACUUCAGGAUGGCUGUGUACCUGGCCCACCAGAGGUUGCUGGAUGAGAACAUAGAUGUGAUUGUGUUGGUUCUCCUGGAACCCGUGCUGCAGCACUCUCACUUCCUCCUUCUGCGGCGGCGUCUGUGUGGAAGGAGUGUUCUAGAGUGGCCCCAGUCUGCAGCCGCUGAGACCUGGUUCUGGAAGCACCUAAGGAACGCUGUCAGGUUAGACAACCAGGUGAUGUACAACAAGAUCUACUCCAGGUACUUCACCAGCAAGUAGAGCACAGUCCAGACCAGAGACUCAAGAGGAAAAUAUAUUUCUCACACAAAUAGACUGAGCAGUUACACACACAAACUGUGAUACCUUUUACAAGCUCUGACUCUGACUAUAUCAGUUUUUCUAUCUCUUGCACUGAAUAAUAUGGAUGAUACUGUACAUCUGAAAUCGACAAUAUGUAUAUCAAUGUGCUAUUCAUUGUUCUAACACUAUGGCCACCAGUAACUGUGCAUUAUAGUUGUGGUUCAGUUUUUCAGUUUUAUGCUGUCUAUGGGUAGUAGAUAGUUCUAUUCCUAUUUGUUUUUGUCAAUACAUUCAAACUGCAUGCCAUUUGUAAGUAGAUAUCUGAUUUUAAAAUGACUUGGUGCAGUCUGUCUAUGGGCAUCCGUCUUUAUAUGAUAACAGGAAGUGAACUAGUCUUAAGUUCCUGUUUCUUUAGGCUCAGAUGAGGAUGUGAAUCUGAAGCCAUGGUGCUAGCCUGUCAGUGGCACUUCUUUCUUUAUUUCUUUAUACUUAGAAAACUAUAGGCUACAGUGAUUCAACUGAACCGGUAUUGUUGCAACACACUAUUUUAUUAUAUUAAUCAAAACAUUGUUUAGGGAAUCUCUUGUAAAUGUGGACUAUCCAUUGGACUACAGAGUCACAGCAUCAAGGUCCCUUAUGAUAAUUGAAAAUGCAUUAUCUAAAUGUAAUCAAUGACAUAGGGAUGUGUAAAAUAUUACAGUUGCAUAGCCUCCAGACAGGUAGGCUUAUGUUUCUAACGCAAACCAAUAAACGCCAGUGUUACCACCUGAUGUAAUACUAUGUAAAUCCACAGGAUGUCAUCAUUGAGACAAUCAGUAAGAGUUACUUAUGCGGUGACAGCGGACUGUUUUGUGUCGGCAGCGCAAUGCUCUAAUAUCAAAUCAGAUAAAAUGCAAGGUCCAAUACGUUAAACAAAUAAAACCAUAACUAUUGUGUAUGCUCUCUCGCUUGUAAAUAUUGAUGUAAUACGUAUAUAUUCCAAUCCUAGAUAAGCUCAAGAGUGAAGGAACGUGACGUCAUGUUUACAUUUGCAUAUUGCGGACUAUAAUAGACCUUGCUUGAUUUACACGCCUUCACUCGUUCUCUACGCAAUCAGGAUUGAGACACAUCUGUAGCCAGUACAACUCCGAUCCUCUGCAAGCAUGUCUGACAAGCCAGAUCUCGCUGAAGUCUCUAACUUCGACAAGACCAAGUUGAAGAAGACCGAGACACAAGAGAAAAACCCAUUGCCCACCAAAGAAACCAUCGAACAGGAGAAGCAAGCAACAGCAUGAAGCCCAAGCCUCUGCUAUGCACACUGUACAUUCCACAAGCAUUGCCUUUUUCACCUAGUAGCUGUGUAACCCAAAACCUAAGUUGCAUUGUGAUUGGACAAAAGCAAUGACUGUACAGCCCCUCCCUAGAAUGUUAUUUUUUUUUUUUUUUUUUUUUUUUACAUCAAGUCUGAAAACAACUACUGACUGGCACUCUUUGACUAGGAGGAUGUGUUGCGUGUCUCUAAUCACUUCCAGCACCGUCACCUGUCCCUGCUGUGUCCCCUACUUCCAGCCACUUGUGGUUGUGAAGGGAAGUGCAAGGGUGUGAUGGAUCUGCCCAACCCGGGGACCCACUUCUGACGUGUAAUUCAGCUUCUGGCAACAUGAAAUGCUUUCAAAUAAAGCAGUGUUUUGUUUUUCUUGUUCAAAUUCUUUUGUAUAAAUUCAAUUAUUGGAAUGCAGAAGUUUGUUUUGAUAUGCAAAUAAAGUUAUAACUCUUUCUUUGGGUGACAGUAGGUUAUUUUCAUACAUUUUGAAUAUGCUUAAACUAGUUUCAGUAAUCACAUUGCCUCCUGUAAAUGUAUUUUGUGCAUCUGACGUAAAGUACAACUCUGCACAUUAGGCAAGGGUGUAUAUACCAAAUAAAUUGGCCAUAUUUUGGUG